RNAcentral lists this small RNA (855 nucleotides) under Pan troglodytes (chimpanzee). RNAcentral's name for it is "retained intron". The record is from RNAcentral. Lineage: Eukaryota; Metazoa; Chordata; Mammalia; Primates; Hominidae.
GCUGUGGGGUCCCAAAAUCGUGACCCCGGCCCCUCUCCCCUCCUCCCCCACCAUGUCCCAUGUCAGGAUCAGUUCGAGGUGCUCGAGCGCCACACGCAGUGGGGGCUGGACCUGUUGGACAGAUAUGUAAAGUUCGUGAAAGAACGCACCGAAGUGGAACAGGCUUACGCCAAACAACUGCGGUGAGACCCUGGGGUGGACGCUACGGAGGACGCGCCUGGGGCGACGGGGAGCGGUGGGAGGGCUGCGGGCUCAGCCCUCCUACCUCUGUCUCCCCUUAGGAGCCUGGUGAAAAAAUAUCUGCCCAAGAGACCUGCCAAGGAUGAUCCUGAGUCCAAAUUCAGCCAGCAACAGUCCUUCGUACAGAUUCUCCAGGAGGUGAAUGACUUUGCAGGCCAGCGGGAGCUGGUGGCUGAGAACCUCAGUGUCCGUGUAUGUCUUGAGCUGACCAAGUACUCACAAGAGAUGAAACAGGAGAGGAAGAUGGUGAGGAGCCCCCCGAUUCAGGUUUUACAAAGGGCUUCUGCUGGAACCCUGGCGAGCCUUAUCACUCUUCUUUCUGUAGCACUUCCAAGAAGGGCGGCGGGCCCAGCAGCAGCUGGAAAAUGGCUUUAAACAGCUGGAGAAUAGUAAGCGUAAAUUUGAGCGGGACUGCCGGGAGGCAGAGAAGGCAGCCCAGACUGCUGAACGGCUAGACCAGGAUAUCAACGCCACCAAGGCUGAUGUGGAGAAGGCCAAGCAGCAAGCCCACCUUCGGAGUCAUAUGGCCGAAGAAAGCAAAAACGAAUAUGCAGCUCAACUCCAGCGCUUCAACCGAGACCAAGCCCACUUCUAUUUUUCACAGAUGCCCCAGAU